UACGAAGGGGGCUAGCGUUGUUCGGAUUUACUGGGCGUAAAGCGCACGUAGGCGGAUUGUUAAGUCGGGGGUGAAAUCCUGGAGCUCAACUUCAGAAUUGCCUUCGAUACUGGCUUUCUAGAGGCUGGAAGAGGUUAGUGGAAUUCCCAGUGUAGAGGUGAAAUUCGUAGAUAUUGGGAAGAACACCAGUGGCGAAGGCGGCUAACUGGUCCAGAUCUGACGCUGAGGUGCGAAAGCGUGGGGAGCAAACCGG
Molecule: ribosomal RNA, 253 nt
Filed under: uncultured bacterium
Lineage: Bacteria
Description: partial 16S ribosomal RNA
Rfam family: Bacterial small subunit ribosomal RNA
Source: RNAcentral